GGCCUGGCUGGGUGGUCCGCCUAACGGUGUGUACUGUCUGGCUGGGUCUUACUUCUUGGUGAGCCGGUGUGCCCUUUAUUGGCGUGCAUUGGGGAACCAGGACUUUUACCUUGAGAAAAUUAGAGUGUUCAAAGCAGGCUCAUGCCCGAAUACAUUAGCAUGGAAUAACAAAGUAGGACGUGCGGUUCUAUUUUGUUGGUUUCUAGAGUCGCCGUA
RNAcentral lists this ribosomal RNA (216 nucleotides) under uncultured fungus. Its description in RNAcentral is "partial small subunit ribosomal RNA". The stretch from base 88 to 216 matches the Rfam family "Eukaryotic small subunit ribosomal RNA", at positions 734 to 864 of the family's 1831-position model. Lineage: Eukaryota; Fungi. The record is from RNAcentral.